CAGUAGCCACGGUAACACGGAGGGGGCUAGCGUUGUUCGGAAUUACUGGGCGUAAAGCGCACGUAGGCGGCUUGGUAAGUUAGAGGUGAAAGCCCAGGGCUCAACCCUGGAAUUGCCUUUAAGACUGCCGAGCUAGUAGGUGAGAGAGGUAAGUGGAAUUCCGAGUGCAGAGGUGAAAUUCGUAGAUAUUCGGAAGAACACCAGUGGCGAAGGCGGCUUACUGGCUCAUUCUAGACGCUGAGGUGCGAAAGCGUGGGGAGCAAACAGGAUUAGAUACCCGCGUAGUCCCUGUCUCUUAUAC
RNAcentral lists this ribosomal RNA (301 nucleotides) under uncultured bacterium. Its description in RNAcentral is "partial 16S ribosomal RNA". It matches the Rfam family "Bacterial small subunit ribosomal RNA", at positions 509 to 807 of the family's 1533-position model. The record is from RNAcentral.